Molecule: long non-coding RNA, 718 nt
Organism: Mya arenaria
Lineage: Eukaryota; Metazoa; Mollusca; Bivalvia; Myida; Myidae
Exons: 3
Source: RefSeq, a predicted model, not a curated record
CUGCAAACACUCUAACUUUAACCACUCAAGCUCCAACAUCUCCAGCAUCAGUCACAAGUACGACAACGACAACUGCAAACGCCCCAACUACAACCACUUCAGUUUCAACCAAUCCAGCAUCAGCCACGAGUAUAGCAACGACAAGUGCAAACACCCCAACUAUAACCACUGCAGCUUUGACUACUCAAAUCUCAGCCACAACUACGACAACUCCAACUACAAAAAACCCAAUUAAGAGUGCGACAACUGCAGCUUCAACCUCGAGAAAAACCACUGCCACAACGAACGCUCCAACUACAGCCUUAAGUCCGACAAUUCCAUCUACAUCUCCAACAACAAGCAAUCAAAGGACAACCACGACUAAACAGUUAGGGGAAGUUUGUCAACAGCAGAGCGAGAAGUACAGCUGUGAGGAUCCCAACUCGUCAUGCACUAAUGUCAAUGGGCAGGGGGAGAAAAUAUGCGCAUGCAACCGUGACUUCAAUGACGAUAACGGUUCUACCGUGGGAGGGAAAUGCGUACAAAGAAUUUCCAUCUGAUAGAAGUGUCCCUACUUCUUAUAUGACGACAAGCGCGUAACCUGUCGCCAGAACAGCGAGUGUCUGCCCGGCCCAUCCACGGGCUAUACUGGCCUAAGACUACAAUUAUUUUUACUAUAUGUUUCAUAUAGACACUAACCUUGCUUUUCACUUUAAAACAGUCCCCAUUGAAAAACAAG